This is a long non-coding RNA of Oncorhynchus tshawytscha (Chinook salmon), 412 nucleotides long. NCBI's taxonomy places the organism in Eukaryota, Metazoa, Chordata, Actinopteri, Salmoniformes, Salmonidae. The record is from Ensembl.
CGACCUAGUGGACGUUGAGGAGCUUCCUAACGGGGGUUGGGGAGCAUCCUGAUGGGGGUUGAGGAGCGUCCCUAACGGGGGUUGAGGAGCGACCUAGUGGACGUCGAGGAGCAUCCUAACGGGGGUUGAGGAGCGUCCUGAUGGGGGUUGAGGAGCGUCCUGAUGGGGGUUGAGGAGCGUCCCUAACGGGGGUUGAGGAGCGUCCUGAUGGAGGUUGAGGAGCAUCCUAACGGGGGUUGAGGAGCGUCCUGUUGGAGGUUGAGGAGCGUCCUGAUGGAGGUUUAGGAGCAUCCUGAUGGAGGUUGAGGAGCGUCCUGAUGGGGGUUGAGGAGCGUCCUGAUGGAGGUUGAGGAGCGUCCUAACUGGGGUUGAGGAGCAUCCUGAUGGAGGUUGAGGAGCAUCCUAACGGGGG